Molecule: long non-coding RNA, 1629 nt
Filed under: Cyanistes caeruleus (blue tit)
Lineage: Eukaryota; Metazoa; Chordata; Aves; Passeriformes; Paridae
Description: lncRNA (ENSCCEG00000007441.1)
Source: RNAcentral
AUGGAGAAUGUCAUUACCUGUCACAACCCCUCCUCAGGGAGCUUCUUCCCUUGUGUCCCAGGUCCUGCAGCACAAACUCCUGAGCUGUGCCCUGCUGGGCACUUCUGUCCUCCAGGGACCACCUUCAGCACGGAGCACCCGUGUCCCAAGGGCACCUUUGGCCCCAGGACUGGUGCCACCAGUGAGUCUGACUGCGAGCCCUGCCCAGCAGGUGAGCAGGGACUGGGCACAGAAAAUGUGCAAAGCAUUUCUCUUUUCACCUUCCUGACCCCUCCACUGCCGUUCUGUGCAGCCCCUUCCCCUGACGUGGCUCUCUGCUUCUUUCAGGGAUGUAUUGCUCAGCUCCAGGGCUAUCCCAGCCAUCUGGAUUUUGUUACCCAGGCUACCACUGUGCCAAGGGAGCCAUCAGCCCAGCCCCCUUCAAGCACAGGGUGGAAUCCUCCAGCCCUGCCCUGCCUGGCAAUGACAUCUGCCCCGUGGGUCACUUCUGCCCCAGUGGCACCGAGCAUCCCGUGCCGUGUCCCCCCGGGUCCCUGUCCGGUGCCGUGGGCCUGGGGGCAGAGGAGCAGUGCCAGCCCUGCCCUGCUGGGAGGGUCUGCAGUGGCCCAGGGCUGGCUGAGCUGGCCCAGACAUCGCUGUGUGACCCAGGGUGAGUGGCACUGCCACUGGGCAGUGACCAAACACAGCCUUGCUGUGCCUCAUAACCAAGGGACAUCCAAAUUUCCACAUCCUGGGCUCAUCCACAGCCCUUUGGUUGGGACGUGGUGCCUCCUUGUAGGUGUUCACAGACAUUCCUGUUCCCUUCACCUUUGCCUGAUAUUCUUAUAAAUAUUUCUUCUCUGUUUUCAAGGGAAAAAAAAAUCAAUAUUACAAAUGAAUUGCUGCUGCAAAUCCCUUAUUUAGUUCCAUAAUCACACUUGCUGAGAAUUUCACCUUUUUUUCCCUUUCUGAGUCCUCUUCUCCCACAAGGUGGUGCAAGAGCCAGGGACAAGGCACCGUUCCCAGGCUGUGAACAGUGCCCUGAGCAGUGUCUGUCCCUCUCAUGAGCCUCGGGGCAAGAGGAUACAGAAAUUGGAUUUAUUUUAUAAGUGUAACUGAGUCUAAGAAGUGAUUUCAGUGCAGUGUAAUGAGAUUUCAUGAGAUCUCUGAGAGGAGCUGGCUGUAGAAUGGAGCAGAGAAAAUCUCAAUGAAAUUUGUUUAGAAGUUGAAGCUAACUUCAAUUGUAUUCCCAUUGUAUUGGGAAUGCAAUGAGAGCUACGUUGAGAAGGACUGAAAAUAAUUAUUCUUGGGAAUAUGAGGGAUUUGACCUGUCCUAAUUGAACUUUAAGCUUUCCCAAAAUUUCCAUUAACCCUAAAAAUUAUUAUAGCGUAGCUGUAGCAGCAAUGAUCAAGACUUUCUUCAACUUCCAAAAUCCAUAGGAGGAGUUUGAUGAUUUUCAGCACCUUUAUCGCACAGCAUCCAUCACUGCUCAGAACCUGCUGCUCACUUGGAACUGCUCUUGUUUCCAGGCAAAAAAAGAAGCUGCUUUUCUGCUUUUCAUUCAGUGCUGUUCCUUUCCCACUCUGUUGUUUUCCUUCAGGAGUGGGAACUUUUUCUUCUAGAGAAACUCCAUCACUCGAAUCCUUGUC